Molecule: ribosomal RNA, 301 nt
Filed under: uncultured bacterium
Lineage: Bacteria
Description: partial 16S ribosomal RNA
Rfam family: Bacterial small subunit ribosomal RNA
Source: RNAcentral
CAGCAGCCGCGGGAAUACGAAGGGGGCUAGCGUUGCUCGGAAUGACUGGGCGUAAAGGGCGCGUAGGUGGUUAUGUAAGUGAGAUGUGAAAUCCCCGGGCUCAACCUGGGAACUGCAUCUUAUACUGCGUAGCUGGAGUGCAGUAGAGGGUAGUGGAAAUUCCGGUGUAGCGGUGAAAUGCGUAGAUAUCGGAAGGAACACCAGUGGCGAAGGCGGCUACCUGGACUGACACUGACGCUGAUGCACGAAAGCUAGGGGAGCAAACAGGAUUAGAUACCCCCGUAGUCCCUGUCUCUUAUAC